UACGUAGGGUGCAAGCGUUAAUCGGAAUUACUGGGCGUAAAGCGUGCGCAGGCGGUUCUGUAAGAUAGAUGUGAAAUCCCCGGGCUCAACCUGGGAAUUGCAUAUAUGACUGCAGGACUUGAGUUUGUCAGAGGAGGGUGGAAUUCCACGUGUAGCAGUGAAAUGCGUAGAUAUGUGGAAGAACACCGAUGGCGAAGGCAGCCCUCUGGGACAUGACUAACGCUCAUGCACGAAAGCGUGGGGAGCAAACAGG
Molecule: ribosomal RNA, 253 nt
Filed under: Sutterella wadsworthensis
Lineage: Bacteria; Pseudomonadati; Pseudomonadota; Betaproteobacteria; Burkholderiales; Sutterellaceae
Description: partial 16S ribosomal RNA
Rfam family: Bacterial small subunit ribosomal RNA
Source: RNAcentral